GAGUCGGUAGUGCAACGGUUAGCAUACGCUCCCGUUAAGAGUGUGAUCUGGGUUCGAAUCUCGCCUGACGCA
Non-coding RNA from Parelaphostrongylus tenuis, 72 nucleotides. The record is from the annotation of a GenBank genome assembly. Lineage: Eukaryota; Metazoa; Nematoda; Chromadorea; Rhabditida; Metastrongylidae.